UUGUAACUAGCGUCUGACGUGAGGGCAGC
RNAcentral lists this non-coding RNA (29 nucleotides) under Rattus norvegicus (Norway rat). Lineage: Eukaryota; Metazoa; Chordata; Mammalia; Rodentia; Muridae. The record is from RNAcentral.